Molecule: RNA transcript, 1517 nt
Organism: Patiria miniata (bat star)
Lineage: Eukaryota; Metazoa; Echinodermata; Asteroidea; Valvatida; Asterinidae
Gene name: tRNA (uracil-5-)-methyltransferase homolog A-like
Exons: 9
Source: RefSeq, a predicted model, not a curated record
UUUUUGUCAGUCAACUGUCAUGACUGUACCAGCGGUCAAACUGUCAUCAGUCAUAUACAUCGCGAUAUGACCGCGUUGUUGGCUAGAAACACCGAAUUGAUCACAGUCGGCACUGCUGCUAUAAAUAAAGUCUUGACUCACGAGAUAACCAUUCCACCAGCACCAUUGAUGUAUAACAGAUCAUAUUAUCACUAUCUGACGUGACAUCAUUUCACCUCGGAGAUCUUCAAGAUUGAGAUCCAAAACCUCCCAAAGACAUUUUGGAUUUGCGCAACUGAAGAUGUUGACUGGUCUUCAACUGAAACCCGAGAAAGUCAAGGCAGUCAACAAGGCAACCUAUGCUUUUGUGACAUUCAGCUGCCAAGAAGAUAAGGAGGAGGCCUUGAAACUACUCAACGGACACACGAAAGGACAAGUGCUGAGAACCAAGCUCGCCAAGCCAGUUGAGGACCCGUACACUAAGAGCCUUGCUCUGAAGAGAAGUCAAGAGGAAACUGAUGGAAACACCCAAGAAGCUAAGAGGAGGAAGGAGGAGGACAGCUUACCAGUAGAAGAGAGGUUAAACAACACAGUGACUCCACCAUGGAACCAGCCGUAUGAGGACCAGCUAUCCACCAAACAGACCAACACCAGGGAGUUUUUGAGGAAUUUAUCCAAGAUGGUGCGACGGAAUAUUGGGGAGAUGUCUCCCUGGCUGAAGCAACAAAGCCAGUAUUAGAGAGUUAUCGCAACAAGUGUGAGUUUACCAUCGGCAAGAGUGUAGAUGGCAUCGAUAACACUGUUGGUUUCCGGCUUGGUGCUUACAAUGUCUCCGUCAACCGAUUUCAAAUCGAAUCAAGGGAAUCCCAUUCCGGCCGACCAAGGCAGUGGCCGUUGACCUCUUCCCACACACCAAACACUGUGAGCUGGUCAUACUGUUUGAGAGAGCUGACCGAGUUGAUCCCUACUACGAGGUACCAGUGGACAUGAAAAGAUCCAGCAAAACCGAUGGCGAAGUUUCAACAUCAGUCGUAUGUUGAUUUAUUUACAAAACUGUCACUGAUAACAAAGUUUUUUUGUCAAAGCUGGUAUGCAAUUAGUGCCCUGGCAGGGACAUGCAGUGCUUGGGGCAAGAUUUCUAUUUGAAAAAAAUGUCAAGCAACUUGCGGGUACUUUGGAGAGUUGGAUCCCAACGUUUUUGGUCCCAUAAUGACCACCGUACAACCCGUGUGUGGUCACCACCAAUGGGAAAACAAGGACGUGUAGUUGUGUACCCACAUUAGCAAGUGUACAGCACUGAUGCCGGAGGGUUGUGCUGUUACCUGCUCUGUAUAUUGCCAACUGGGGGCGCUGUUUCAACCGUCCAACAAAUUUGUGUGUGUAAGGGGGGGGGGGGGGGGUAUGGGCACUCAGUGGGAUUUUAACAAUGAAAAGCUUAUUUUUUGCAUUUCUGAGUGGGGUAUGGGCCACAGGCACAAGGGGGCAUGGCGUCGCGGGAGGGGGGGCCAAGGGGGGCACUUGCCCCCCCCCCCUGGAAA